UGCUUAUCAACAUCUUGAGUCAUUAAUCUCCACAGUCCUCAAGCCCUGAGGAACAGGCUGUUCUCUGAGCAGAUGGUUUUUCAUCAUGGCUUGACUGGACGAAUACAGCUGCUGAUUGUCAGACAUGAAUGAUCACUGAGACAGGGCUGGACCCAGAGGAAACCUGUAUUGCAUAGAAGUUUAUCUGUCAUUGCUCAGCAGAUUGUGUAUGGAGUUAUCAGUCGUGGUUGAUCGAUCAACUUUCUUUCAGAUGUUGCUGGCAUACGAUGACCUAAGAAAGGCUACAUUAUUCCUCCCAGACAUCAUAACACAAGAAACAAGAGACAUCAUAAAAACCAACCGUCUGCAGAGACAAGAGUGGUCUGGAGGUCAAGAGUGUUGCCGACACUGUUGAGUGACUGAACAACCGUCACCAUUCACACACCGUCAACAAACACACACUCAUGUCUACCUGAGCACCAACGCUGAGUCACUGAGUUUCCCUGAGGAUAACAUGGUCUCGCCACCACCAGGCUUGGCCGUCCGUUCACCAUAGAGUGUCCCGGCAAACAGGAACUGGUUCAGUGGAGCAUCGUGUUCAUGUGGAAUCCAGCACGUUGUCAAAGCUCCAUCAGCCCAACAUGAGCAGGAUGAGGCGAAGUGACGUUCUGCGAGAUUAGUAUGGAUAAAUCGGAAUUCUGUGGGUGAAUGUAAAACAAUUUUCACGUGAAGGUGAAGAGUGAGGAAGAGAAAAAGAAUAAGUGCCGAACAGGAAGAAGAGAAGGACUAGACAAGUUAGUCAAGACAAACUUUGGUUUUCAAGAGCAAAAACCUUGUCUGGAAGUAAAGAAAGUUACAAAAAAUUACCUCACUUGACUGCAUUUUAUAAAUGCAAGCAGAAGAUCAUUCAUCCUUAUUACACAAUGUGAAAUUAAGUCAUUCAAUUUGACUUUUUAAUCAAUUUGCCAUCUUGGGAAUAGCUCAGAAAUACUAUUUCUAGUCAUACAAAUAAAGAUUCUUUCUGCCAUCUAUUUUAAUGGAGAAAGACCAAAAUAUCCAAAACUCAGACGAUCUGAGUGUUUUCUUUUCUCCUAUUCAUUUUUGGCUGGACAAAGUCAGAACUUAAUAAGUGAGACCAUUAUAAUAUAUACUGCAAAAAGAGAAUCUACAUGAAUAGUGUAUUUUAGAUAUAUGGAAGAAGUUGUUUUUGUCCUUUAUAUACUAAUUGCAGUAACAUCUGGCAUUUGAACAGUAAUUUAGCCCAUCUAUGUGACUCAACAGUUUCUGGCUAAUAUUUGUGUUUGUCUACAGAGACUCCAUGGAAACAUAUCUAUUACGUUUAAAAGAAAUCUGGUACAAACAUCCCCUAAAAGGGUUGACAAUGUCUCGCAGGCUUUAUCCCUCUGACUGUAAAUGUUCUCCCACCUGGUCCUGGCGGAACAUGAGAUGAGAAUAUCUCAACCACAAUGUACCACAAGUGAGAAGUGAUGACAGAAAAUUGAUAUCACUUUUAUAUAACUGUUUCAUAUUAUGGAAGUGAAGGUUCUCAAGUGUAGUUCGCAGUGUAAUGUGCAGAGACUAAGGGCCUUGUCCCAAAUGGCACACAUCAAAUGCAUUUACGGUCUUGUGGACUUACAUUGGCUGCUGCUUGCGCAUGUCUGUAAAGUCCAUGAGACUGUAGGGUGUCCUAUUUGUCAUUUUAGGUUUCAGAAGAAUGGGCCCUCGAUGCGCUCUUUUGCUGAGCCUGAAGCGAACUCCGCAGCAGACUUCUUCCCGACAGUCAAAGCAACGUUACGUCAUGAAAGUGCGGAUUCGUAUGAAGAUCAUGAGUGCUUUAGGUGCCAUUUGGGACAAGGUCAAGGAAGCCAUUUUUAGGGUGAUAUACCUGAAAUCACUGCACUGCUGUUUGAGCAUUUUAAACAGUGGAGAGAGUGCAAUUUAAAUGCAGCUUAAGCUCUAGCGAAAUUUGUCUCCUGCUGUCUGCAUAAAACAAAGUCAACUCAUUCUUCAAUUUGCAUACAAUUUUGAAAUUACAAUGAACGAGAAGUUGUUUAAUUUUAAGGGUUAGUUCACCCAAAAAUUAUAAUUCUGUCAUCAAUUACUAACCCUCAUGUUGUUCUGAACCCAUAAAGCUUUUGUUAAUUUUUCGUUUUUUAUUUUUAUUUUUAACACUUUUUGUUAUGUUGGUUGAAAAUCUUCUGUGGUAGUCUUAGGACCAAACAAUAUUCAUCCAAUCAUUGCAUUUGGUCCGAAUUCUAUGAUACAAUGUCCUACCUGCCUGUCAGCAUAUAUUUUCCAUACCUCCGCGCACCCUGCUCACGCAGACAUCACACGUCAUCAGCGCUUUUUGUAAGGCUAUUCAGAGUUGUAGACAGACGUCAGUCACUGAGCGCCACAAACAAACAGCAGCCAUCUUUAACAGUACUCGGAGCCGUUCACAUCCUCAGACUCGGAUUUAUGCUUUUCUUUAUCAACACUAUCAAUGCCAAAAUUAAUCUGCAGCAGUCAGGUGGUACAAGUAAGAGCUCUGUAAGUUGUUUAUGUUCAUAAUUAUUGCAAUGUAAUGUGCUUCGAGACAUAAGGUAAUUUAACGCCAUCUCUCAACUUGUGAUCGUUAGCAGACUCUGCUGUGUGCGUUCAUUUGAUUCGAAGGAGGCGUGGCUUUGGAGACACUCUGAAGGGAGGGUGGGAUCUUGCUUUUACUAGCCUCUCUGAAAUUGCCUACCCUACCUUUAAUCUUCGGAACACAAAUGAGGAUAUUUUUAAUGUAAUCUAAGAGAUCAAGGAAGUACAUCAAGUACGACUAUAUUUGAGUGCUCUAUGUACUGUAUGUUUACUGAUCAGUGUUUAUAUGUGAAUAAAAGCCAAAAUUAAAUCUCUUAAUAAUAUGAAGUGAUCGUGUCUCUUAAACCACUUAAUUCAUAUGGGUUUAUUUUACAAUCUCUUUAUGAACGUUUUGAAGUGUUUUGGGUGAAUAGACUUUCAAUGGAGGGACAGAAAUCUUCAUUCAUUAAAAAUAUUUUCAUUUGUGUUUUAAAAGAUGAACAAAUUGAUGUAAUUGAUGACAGUAUUUUAAUUUUUGGGAGAACUACCCCUUUAAACUUCUUUCAAAAAUGAUGGUCUUUGGGGAUUAGGAUAAUCUAAUAGUCAUUUCUAGUCAAAUUGCAUACAGUGAUGUCAGAAUUUUGCAUGAUAAAUGAUAGUUAUUCUGCUCUUUUGUGUAGCCAGCCAUUCUCACAGACUCUACAUUCACAGAACUCUAGGAACAACAGAGACUCCUCCAGUGAUUUAAUGGUCAAUGAAUGUGUGACUCUGCCCAGAUGUGAAAAGGAAAGAGUUGGAUGACAAAGCUGAACAAACUUGCAGCUGGCAUUGAGAGUUUUAUAAUGAGUCGCAUGCCUAGACAUGGACAGCACUGGACAUCAGUUCCUGUAAAUGAAUGUUUGUAGGCCUCAUAGUUCUAAAUCAUUUUUUGUAGCCAGCAGCUAUUUCCCUUUUUACUCAGUGACUUCCAGAAUCACCUAGGCUAGACGAAAACAUGCACCAGCAAUAUCACAUAUUUUCCAUCCAUAAAAAAAAAAAAAAAAAAAAAAAACUCAAGGCAUGAUGGGUAAGCACUAUGUCCAGAAAUGCUCUGCUCUCUUUUCUCUUUAUUCAGCAUGGAAGAUAAAUCUUUAGCUAAGCAAAUUAAAAAACAUAAGGGCUAAGGGAAAAGAAAGCACAUUUUUUACAUGUGUAUUUUAAAGUACACCAAAAACUGUUGAAAUGAAUGAAAUACAGUUUGAAAUGACUUUUGUUAUUUGAUUGUAAUCCAAGUUUUAAAAAAAAAAAAAUCUGCUAAAGUAUAAAAUGCAUGCAAUCUCGGCUGUUAUUUUGAUCAUAAGUCAUGAAGUAUUUUGAUAUUAAGGCCUUUUGUUUCUAAAACUGUAAAUGUUGAGUUUAUUAAAACAAUUAAACUUUAAAAUAUCUUUAAUUAGUAUACAUUAUGUAAAACUUUAAUAUAUUUCCACAUAUUUAUAUUAGAAUCUAUAUGAUAGAUAGAUAGAUAGAUAGAUAGAUAGAU
Molecule: long non-coding RNA, 4042 nt
Organism: Megalobrama amblycephala (Wuchang bream)
Lineage: Eukaryota; Metazoa; Chordata; Actinopteri; Cypriniformes; Xenocyprididae
Exons: 3
Source: RefSeq, a predicted model, not a curated record